AAAGCGCGCGUAGGUGGUUCGUUAAGUGGGAUGUGAAAGCCCUGGGCUUAACCUAGGAAUUGCAUUCCAAACUGACAGACUAGAGUACGAUAGAGGGGGGUAGAAUUCAGAGUGUAGCGGUGAAAUGCGUAGAUAUUCUGAGGAAUACCGGUGGCGAAGGCGGCCCCCUGGAUUGAUACUGACACUGAGGUGCGAAAGCGUGGGGAGCAAACAGGAUUAGAUACCCUAGU
Molecule: ribosomal RNA, 230 nt
Filed under: uncultured bacterium
Lineage: Bacteria
Description: partial 16S ribosomal RNA
Rfam family: Bacterial small subunit ribosomal RNA
Source: RNAcentral